Molecule: ribosomal RNA, 1559 nt
Filed under: uncultured bacterium
Lineage: Bacteria
Description: bacterial SSU rRNA
Rfam family: Bacterial small subunit ribosomal RNA
Source: RNAcentral
AGAGUUUGAUCCUGGCUCAGGAUGAACGCUAGCGACAGGCCUAACACAUGCAAGUCGAGGGGCAGCGAAGAGGUAGCAAUACCUUUGUCGGCGACCGGCGCACGGGUGAGUAACACGUAUGCAAUCCACCUGUAACAGGGGGAUAACCCGGAGAAAUCCGGACUAAUACCCCAUAAUAUGGGCGCUCCGCAUGGAGAGCCCAUUAAAGAGAGCAAUUUUGGUUACAGACGAGCAUGCGCUCCAUUAGCCAGUUGGCGGGGUAACGGCCCACCAAAGCGACGAUGGAUAGGGGUUCUGAGAGGAAGGUCCCCCACAUUGGAACUGAGACACGGUCCAAACUCCUACGGGAGGCAGCAGUGAGGAAUAUUGGUCAAUGGUCGGCAGACUGAACCAGCCAAGUCGCGUGAGGGAAGACGGCCCUACGGGUUGUAAACCUCUUUUGUCGGAGAGUAAAGUACGCUACGUGUAGUGUAUUGCAAGUAUCCGAAGAAAAAGCAUCGGCUAACUCCGUGCCAGCAGCCGCGGUAAUACGGAGGAUGCAAGCGUUAUCCGGAUUUAUUGGGUUUAAAGGGUGCGUAGGCGGCACGCCAAGUCAGCGGUGAAAUUUCCGGGCUCAACCCGGAGUGUGCCGUUGAAACUGGCGAGCUAGAGUACACAAGAGGCAGGCGGAAUGCGUGGUGUAGCGGUGAAAUGCAUAGAUAUCACGCAGAACCCCGAUUGCGAAGGCAGCCUGCUAGGGUGAAACAGACGCUGAGGCACGAAAGCGUGGGUAUCGAACAGGAUUAGAUACCCUGGUAGUCCACGCAGUAAACGAUGAAUACUAACUGUUUGCGAUACAAUGUAAGCGGUACAGCGAAAGCGUUAAGUAUUCCACCUGGGGAGUACGCCGGCAACGGUGAAACUCAAAGGAAUUGACGGGGGCCCGCACAAGCGGAGGAACAUGUGGUUUAAUUCGAUGAUACGCGAGGAACCUUACCCGGGCUCAAACGCAGGGGGAAUAUAUAUGAAAGUAUAUAGCUAGCAAUAGUCACCUGCGAGGUGCUGCAUGGUUGUCGUCAGCUCGUGCCGUGAGGUGUCGGCUUAAGUGCCAUAACGAGCGCAACCCCUAUCGACAGUUACUAACGGGUCAAGCCGAGGACUCUGUCGAGACUGCCGGCGCAAGCCGCGAGGAAGGUGGGGAUGACGUCAAAUCAGCACGGCCCUUACGUCCGGGGCGACACACGUGUUACAAUGGCAGGUACAGAAGGCAGCCAGUCAGCAAUGACGCGCGAAUCCCGAAAACCUGUCUCAGUUCGGAUUGGAGUCUGCAACCCGACUCCAUGAAGCUGGAUUCGCUAGUAAUCGCGCAUCAGCCAUGGCGCGGUGAAUACGUUCCCGGGCCUUGUACACACCGCCCGUCAAGCCAUGGAAGCCGGGAGUACCUGAAGCAUGCAACCGCAAGGAGCGUACGAAGGUAAUACCGGUAACUGGGGCUAAGUCCUUUAAAGGGAGCCGUAAGGGCGAAUUCGCGGCCGCUGAGUNCAAUCNGUUUGGAAUGGGCGAUAAUCCCCCCNAUCUUA